This 205-nucleotide long non-coding RNA is filed under the name Elaeis guineensis (African oil palm). RNAcentral's name for it is "long non-coding RNA (EGUI_LNC058225)". Lineage: Eukaryota; Viridiplantae; Streptophyta; Magnoliopsida; Arecales; Arecaceae. The record is from RNAcentral.
CUUGGGCUGAAAUGUAACAUGAGUUUCUUAAAAAAUUCUAUCCCAUAGGUCGAACCAACACCAUGAGGUGAGCCAUCACUGAAUUUGCUCAGCUUCUAGGAGAACAAAUUCAUGAGUCAUGAGAGAGACUUGAAGAACUUCUUAGAAAAUACUCACACUAUGAUCUAUCUAAGUGGCAAAUUGUUCAAGCUUUCUAUGAGGAUUU